GACGAACGCUGGCGGCGUGCUUAACACAUGCAAGUCGAGCGGUAAGGCUCCUUCGGGAGUACACGAGCGGCGAACGGGUGAGUAACACGUGAGUAAUCUGCCCUUCACUUCGGGAUAACCACCGGAAACGGUGGCUAAUACCGAAUACGACCAGUCUUCGCAUGAGGUGCUGGUGGAAAGUCUUUUCGGUGAAGGAUGUGCUCGCGGCCUAUCAGCUUGUUGGUGGGGUAAUGGCCUACCAAGGCUUCGACGGGUAGCCGGCCUGAGAGGGUGACCGGCCACACUGGGACUGAGACACGGCCCAGACUCCUACGGGAGGCAGCAGUGGGGAAUGUUGGACAAUGGGCGAAAGCCUGAUCCAGCAACGCCGCGUGAGGGAUGACGGCCUUCGGGUUGUAAACCUCUUUCAGUACAGACGAAGCGCCCUGUCGGGUGGUGACGGUAGGUACAGAAGAAGGACCGGCCAACUACGUG
This 474-nucleotide ribosomal RNA is filed under the name uncultured bacterium. RNAcentral describes it as "partial 16S ribosomal RNA". It matches the Rfam family "Bacterial small subunit ribosomal RNA", at positions 28 to 507 of the family's 1533-position model. The record is from RNAcentral.